UACGUAGGGGGCAAGCGUUGUCCGGAUUUAUUGGGCGUAAAGAGCGUGUAGGCGGCCAUACAGGUCAGCUGUGAAAACUCGAGGCUCAACCUCGAGACGUCGGUUGAAACCGUUUGGCUAGAGUCCGGAAGAGGAGAGUGGAAUUCCCGGUGUAGCGGUGAAAUGCGCAGAUAUCGGGAAGAACACCCGUGGCGAAGGCGGCUCUCUGGGACGGUACUGACGCUGAGGUGCGAAAGCGUGGGGAGCAAACAGG
RNAcentral lists this ribosomal RNA (253 nucleotides) under uncultured bacterium. RNAcentral describes it as "partial 16S ribosomal RNA". It matches the Rfam family "Bacterial small subunit ribosomal RNA", at positions 524 to 776 of the family's 1533-position model. The record is from RNAcentral.